AGAGAAACAAGAGUUAAUUUCAAAGCCACAUACAAUCUGAAGGAAAAACAAUAAUGUAAUUCAGAUUCAAAAAAAUACCUGGUCUGUGCCCAGGAAAACAUAAAUAGGUAAUAGGUUAUACUUGAGACAAAUGUGAUCUUCUUGAAACCCCAUAAGCUACUUUAUCCAGUCUGACUUAGAAAGACCUUUCACCUUAGAUAGCUCAUCUUUGUCAUCAUUAAUGCAUCUUACGUACUUAACCAGGAAGUCCAGCCUUUGACACUACACUGUUGCCACAGAUGAGCAUUUGUGGAAUUGCAUAUUGCAUGUUGCAGAGAAGACACUGACCUAGCAUAGCAGCAACCAAAAAAAAAAAAUCUUACAAAAAAACCACAAACAAAGAACACCUCCACUCAAGAACUGCUUCAAAAGAAUUUUACUUACAGAAAAGUAGUCUUGAUUUCCCUGCCCCCAAUCAUCCUGAAAGCAAGAAGUGUUGCUAAGAUUACUGUGCUCUGCCUUGACAGCACAAUCUCUAGGGACUUUACUUUUCAGCACCCCCUUUGAAAGCUUUGUCUGCACGAGGGCCAUCGCAGCUCCCACAAGUAUCAGGUAACUGAGGGAAGAACUGAUGGAUGUGGGAAGGGGGUGGGCUAAGAGAGAAGCAUUGUAAAACAAAGGCUAAAAUCAGGCUAUUUGGAAGAGCAGGGAAAGGGAAGACGCACUAUCCACCCCGUGUCACAUUUACAGACAGACUAACCUGCCAAUGAGAUCCCCAGCACUCCAGUAAUAAUAAUCAUCAGCAUAAACUAAUCAAGAGUGACUCCAUGGGUUGGAAAGAUGCCAGCUAUUUCAUCUGAGCCACCUUAUCUUCAAUCCUAACUUGAGAACAAGAGCCAUUAAGAUGUAUUCCCCUCCCCCUCUCUACUCUGGGAUAUUAUUAACUUAGCUAUACCUUUCAAAAUUGCCAUUUAGCCAGCCAUAGCCAAACUUAGAGAAUGAUUCAGAAAAACCCUCCAAAAUGAAAAAAGCCAAAGAAAAAUAAGAAAAAAAAACAACACCCACUGAUUUGAUAAGUACAGUAAGAACUACAAAUGAAAUAAUAAAUGUAACGUAUUUCUGGUGAGAACAAUAAUAGAACAAAUAUAAACUCUCUCCAUGAACAGCUUUGAUGCUUUGCCAUAGAAGCUAUGUACUGUAAGGUUUAUUUCUUCUUAAUUAUAUAUGCACUCAGUAGUGGUCUGCAGCACUUAACACCUUUUCUGUACCAGAGACCAAAAUACAGUUGAGAAUAAGCUGCUACAAGGUGCAGCUUUAAGGCAGACCCCAAAUUCCUUGAGAGGAGGAAGAAAAAAAGAAAAAAGAAAAAGAGGCUGAGGCAGACUGUUUUCUCACGACUGGACACAGCAUGCAGCCUCUAGUUUGUGAUGGACACCAGCUUGGAAUAUAGCCUAAAUAUGUUUCAUAUUCAAAGCAGACUAGGAUUCCAUUUUGUUCACUGAUAACUGUGGGAAAAUGCUUCAAAAAGUAAGCAAAGCUGGGCAAGCUGAGACACGCACCCUGACUUUUACAGGAAGGCUGCAUUGGCCACACCAUUUUUGGUUAAUAUUUCAUGAAAGUGACAUAUUUGUUAUUAGUCUAGAACAAGUCUCUCAACUUCGAAGAAACUUCUAAAACCAAACAAAAAAAGCGCAACAUGAUCAUUCAGUGCUAUUAAAAGCAUAUUUAAGAAGUUCUUUCACAGGUCAAAGGUAAAAAUCCAUCAAACAAAACUCGAAUAGAGCUCCUGAGCCAUUUUAGAGAUAGACAUUGCACUAUCAUGGAUGCUUUCUCACUGGCUUAAUUGCAAACACUGAGAAGCACAACAUGUUAGUGCAAGCUUGAAAAGCGUUAUGAUAUAGAGAGUGAAUUAUGGCAACUCGCACUAUUUCCAAUAAAGUUAAGGAUGUUUUCCUUUCGGCCUUGCAUAAUUGUUUUGGAAGAUAUUUUGUCUAAACUCAUAGCAACAGUUACGGGUUGGUUCUCAGGACUGUUUACCAACACACCUAGCCCUUAAGGAAAGGAAAGGCUGAAUCCUGGCUUUAAGUAGUCAUGUUGCUAGAUACCUGUGUGACCACUUUCCAACAGGAGUUUGUUUACAGAGUAAGGAGCUUCUGCUUAACUGGAUAGAAAUAGAAUGCAGGGAGAAAAGAUCUACCCUAGCAAUUCCCUUGUUUCUGUGUGCCCCCUUUCACCUCAUCUGACGUAUUUUAAAUAAGGAAUCCCAAUCCUGAAAAGAGAAGAUAUCAAGAAUGGCAGUUUAAUCUCUAGGCUCUGUCCUUCUCAGCAUGGGGCACAGAAAGGACAAGACUUUGUGUUCAGUACAAAAAGCAGAGACAUCCACAUCCCCACAACAGCAGUAAGCGCCCCUUAGCAAUACAGCCAUCACACAGCUCUAGCCAGUGCUUCCCCACCACUGCCCAAAAGAGUUCUGUGCAAAGACCGAACCAUUGUUAUAUUUUAAAAGUGCACAUCAUCCCCACUCUAUAGAUCAACAAUUAAGAUAUCUGAGGAAUGACUACUUACAGUGAGGAGGUUUAAGUUUUCCCAUGCCCACAGCUGACCUCUGCCCAUCUUUGAAUAAAUACAUACGUCCAGACACAAGAAUUCCACGUCAUGCACCUUACUCCAUCAAAGCAAUGUCCUAAGCAAAAAGGCAGCAGUGAACUUUCUGGAGUCACACCCAAUUAGCCACUGUAAAACUGAGCUUGACUAGCAGACGGGGAUUCUGACUUGAGAGGAAAGGCAGUUUGAAAGGAACAGCAAGCUGGCACAGCGUGCAGAACAUCCACAGUCUGAUCCACCCAGAGGACUGAAAGGCAGCAUGGUCAAACUUCAGCAAAAGUCCUAUGAGUUAAGCUAGGAGGGGAUGGAAAUGGUUGAGAUCACACUCCAAAUAAAAUAAAGCAAGCACCCAUGUGCAAAGGUUGCUCUCCUCAGUGACAAGCCACCAUGACUUAAGUCUCAGUCCACUGAUAACACAACUCACUGAAAGCUUUGAAGAAGCUGAAAUCCAUCAAAGUCAAUCCCUUUUAAGGGUCUGAAAGGGCAAUGCUGCGUAUUUUCUAGUUAUUUAAAUGAAAUAUUAGCAGCUCCAGCUAAACAGCAGGUGUUUAAAGCUCUCUGCUCUAUUUUUUCUUCUUCCCUUCAUCCAGCUAUUCACCCAAAAGAGGUGUUUUUGUACUUCGGCUUCUAAAUUCUGCAAUUCAGCAUGACAGAGGAAGACCGAAACAUCAGGCUUAUUAGCCAAAGGACUGCCUCCUUUUGAAAGAGGCUGCAACUUGUUAAACUUCUUUCCCUUCUAUCCUUGUGGUUAAACCAUGCAAGAGCUUUGCUGAGCAUGUGAAACCAUGACUAGACAAAUGCAGUGGGAAGUUUGCAUUCUUAAUGUUGUGCCUGCUCCUCCCCUCUGCCAAACAAGGAGAGCAGGUUAAGCUCAGCCAUGUUCUCCUCAUGCAUUCCCAGCCAGGCACAGCUGUGAAGACUCAUCAGAACAGUCCUCACUCUGCCUGCACUACUAGGAAGAAGGCUAGGAGCUGGGCACACUAUCACAGGGAGCACAGUGCAUUGAAGGAGAUGCAGUCUCUCUGUCCUUCAGCUAGAAGGGGAUGAGAGGAAGAACGGAGAAACAGAGUAGCAGUUCAAAGUGCCCAAGAGCCAAGGAGGAGGACACCUCUGAGCACCUUUAAGGCUAGUCACAAAACCACUUCCCCUACAAGUCAGCAGGGCUCUCACUUGCAUGCUCCUGCUGCCACAAGGCAAGUCAUGAUGACGCCAUGCAGAUGUGUCACCACGUCAUGCCACAGUCAGACAGUAAGCCCUGAAAACAGAAUGCUCCUCCACAGGAGAUGAAGACAACUGGUUCCUCAUCCACAGAAAUUACGUAUUUGGGGGAAAAAAGGGAAAUAAUUCUCUGGAUUCUUUCUUGAACGCAGUGAGGAAUGCAAUUCUAUAGACCAGUCUACAUAAGGCUAAGGCAACAACCCAUAAGGUGUUACUCUCUUAACCCUACAUAUAUAGGCAAAACAAGUUGCAGUUAUCUUAUGCAUCAGAGUCCCUGACCAAGUGCUAGACUGAACCUCAAACAGGCAGGUCUUGUCAGAAUAUGCCCAGGUGAAAAUGCAAGCACGCUUUUCUUUUGCUCUUUGGUUUGAGCAGUUCCUCCACUGCUGUUAGUGCUGGUAAACACUUCAUUGCUACAGAAAGAAGAUACGAAACCGAAUUCAACUCACUGGCAACUUCCAGGAAUAACUUUCACCCACCAUUCCAGCUUGGCAUAAGCCAAGCCAGUAACUGAAGACUGCUUCUGUGACACAACUUCUUCUUCCUGCCCAAUGAUGGACACAAAGUACUGCAAUCCAAACUAUGCAUAUGCUUAAGCAUCCAGUAAAUCAGCUUGAUCUCUGAUCUGUCAAACUUGCUGGAAUAAUGAGUGUCCUGUGAAUACAUAAUGUGCUGAAGUUGCCAUUGUGUGAAGUAAGUCCAUGGUUUGUCUGGGAGCCGAGCAAUGCUGAGUCUACUGCUGCUUCCUGUUGCUUGUCCUGUAUUAGCAUUAUUUUUGGAUAGGCCCUAUUAUGUUCUGUAAUCCUCACUGCAGUCAGUAUGGCCACGCUAUUGUUCUCGGUUAAUAUUAGCAGUCAAUGUUGCUGUCUGGGUGGCCAGGCUACAAUGUAUUCCAAUCAUAAAACUAGCAUGCAUUAAUGAAACAAUGUACUGGGUUAGAGGGGGGUGACUUAGGGUCCAUCCCUCCCACUACCCUUCUUAAAUAUAUAUUUAGAUUUUAUAUAUAACAUUAUAUAAUAUUUCUUUUGAAACUAAUGAUUUUAGGUGAUUGCAGCUACUGAGGUGCAUCACACGACAACAGCAUUUUAAUCAGCACCUUAUCUGGUUACAGGGUGAUUUUCUCACGGAGCCCCACUUGUUAAAGGCUAGCAGCUUCUUCUGAAUACUACAACAAUAAUGAGUAUAAUUUAUGCUGUAGAGGAGUGACCACAGAACCAUGAGCUCCAGAGAAACAAGAAAAGUGAGAAAAAGCAGUGCCUGCCCAGAGGAUGUCUUUCAUGACUGCAGGAACCAGCAACAGCAAGACUUGUCAUAAAAAGAGGGAAAGGCCAAAUAUUUUAUUUUUUUUAAAGUAAGAUGGAAUUAAGAUGUUCAAAACACUUUUUCCAUUAUAUUUCACACUAAAAUUAUUUAGAUGCUGGAGGGUUUUUUUCCACCUCAGUAGUUUGCUGGUGGGUUGGUGCAAUUGGCCCCAAUAUUAAAUAGUUACAAGGAACAUAAUUUCAGGAUAAACAAGCUGCUUGAAAUUGGAGCUAUGCAUUCCAAAGGAAUUGCCAACUUUGACCUGCUUCUUACUCACAGCCUCAUCAAAUCUGCAAAGAAACCUCUCUUCACAUAAAAGCAAAGUUUACUGCUAAGCUUUGCUUUGUUAAAGCAUGUGCGGCUCCCUCAAGGUACCGCACACAUCAGACUUUGAAUACCGUUUGAUUCUUUAAGAAAGGCGAGAGAUUUGAUUUAUGCCAGAGAAGAGCAUGCGUCUACCAAACAAAACUUGUUGAGACUGACUUUGACAAGUGGAACAUGGAAAUCCUUUUGUUCCAUACUUUUCUAUAUGGCCUCAUAAGCCAAGCCUGCCCAUCAAGAAAAAUCAAUCAAGUCUCCAAAAGAAUGUAUGAAUAAAGCCUAGCUGUGAGUAUAUGUUUUAAAAAUAUUAUUAUAAUUGCAAAUUACUGUAGAAUUGCAAGCUACUGCAGGGGUGGCUUUCUGGACGCACUCUAGUGUUUUGUCUCUGCUGCUCUUCUGCCCUGUUCCCUAGCAACUUUGCCAAACCUCCAAUCGCUUAAAUGAAUUUAUGGCCCACCAUCUCCACAGCCAUUACUCACAAGGGUACAUAUCAAAACUGACAACAGCUAACUGCAUGAGUUAUUAAUAAAACACCAAUGCUUCAAAUUUACAUUACAACUAUAAGCCAACUCUAACAGUACUUUUACAUUACACACCAUUUUCUUCUGUUCAAAACCUCUAGUGCAACAUUCCUAUUUUUGACAAAAGACAAGAGGGGCAGCUUGGUGUGGGAAGAAUUGUUUUGGGUUUCCCCCCCCACUCAUUUUCUUGUUUUUUAAAGUCAUGAGGGCAACAAGAGUUCUGAAUGUUACUGAUUCAAGCUGUAACAUCCUAUAAAAACCUCCCUUAAACAGCAGAACACAAUCAAUACAUACACAGAGAUGAGCAUGAAUUUUCAAGUGCAAUACAAUUAACAUUCCGGUUUAGCUCCGGAGUUGCUUUGAAUAUAUCCAAUUGAAAAGUAAUGGUAAACUCCCAUGAUCAGCCGCAUUUGUAAAUGUAAAGCUGGUCUUACGCUUUGAUCAAUCAACGGUCUUUACCCAUCUAAAGAGAUUGUUUUAAGUGCUAAAAUUUCAGCAUCAGAUUUAAGUUGACUAAUUAUUAGUUUAUCUUUGGAGCUUUCAGAACCCCUUAAAAAUGAUUUCUGUACACAAUUUUAGUACAAACAAGAGCUUUGUCACAUUAGAUAUUCUUUUGUUCCAAUGCUAUUUAAAAGUCACAAUGGCUAACCAAAAAGCCGUGUCCUAUGAAGUUAAAGCUGGGAUGCAGGCUUGAUAAUUGAGAACAGUCAUCACAAUCUCAAAAAUGACAUUCUUGCAUGGGAAAAUGCAAGCAUUUAUUCCAAAAAUUUCCAGUUGUAGGAAAGAGUUGUCAGAAGUUGACAAGCUUUACGCAUUUUGCAGGCUGCACUAGAGUUUCACUGCUGCUCUAGGAUUCCAGUGCUCAAUUACAUUCAGCAGGACAACUGAAAAAUUUCUUUCGCUAAAGAAAGCAGGUAAGAAACUUCCUCUGUGGUCCCCAGGACCCCAAGUCCUCCUUCUACACUGAAGAUUUCCCUUCCUAGU
Long non-coding RNA from Numida meleagris (helmeted guineafowl), 6929 nucleotides. RefSeq lists it as uncharacterized. The record is from RefSeq and is a predicted model, not a curated record. The transcript has 3 exons. NCBI's taxonomy places the organism in Eukaryota, Metazoa, Chordata, Aves, Galliformes, Numididae.